Molecule: transfer RNA, 72 nt
Filed under: Marmota marmota marmota (Alpine marmot)
Lineage: Eukaryota; Metazoa; Chordata; Mammalia; Rodentia; Sciuridae
Also listed under: 1 other name
Rfam family: tRNA
About the family: Transfer RNA (tRNA) molecules are approximately 80 nucleotides in length. Their secondary structure includes four short double-helical elements and three loops (D, anti-codon, and T loops).
Source: Rfam by way of RNAcentral
GGAGUUGUAGUUCAGCGGUAGAUCGCUUGCCUAGCAUGUGUGAAGCACUGAGUUUGAUCCUCAGCACCUCUG